GACGAACGCUGGCGGCGUGCCUAAUACAUGCAAGUUGAGCGCUGAAGGUUGGUACUUGUACCAACUGGAUGAGCAGCGAACGGGUGAGUAACGCGUGGGGAAUCUGCCUUUGAGCGGGGGACCACAUUUGGAAACGAAUGCUAAUACCGCAUAAAAACUUUAAACACAAGUUUUAAGUUUGAAAGAUGCAAUUGCAUCACUCAAAGAUGAUCCCGCGUUGUAUUAGCUAGUUGGUGAGGUAAAGGCUCACCAAGGCGAUGAUACAUAGCCGACCUGAGAGGGUGAUCGGCCACAUUGGGACUGAGACACGGCCCAAACUCCUACGGGAGGCAGCAGUAGGGAAUCUUCGGCAAUGGACGAAAGUCUGACCGAGCAACGCCGCGUGAGUGAAGAAGGUUUUCGGAUCGUAAAACUCUGUUGGUAGAGAAGAACGUUGGUGGGAGUGGAAAGCUCAUCAAGUGACGGUAACUACACAGAAAGGGACGGCUAACUACGUG
RNAcentral lists this ribosomal RNA (497 nucleotides) under uncultured bacterium. RNAcentral's name for it is "partial 16S ribosomal RNA". It matches the Rfam family "Bacterial small subunit ribosomal RNA", at positions 28 to 507 of the family's 1533-position model. The record is from RNAcentral.